GCCUUGGUGGCGGAAUUGGUAGACGCGCUGGAUUCAAAAUCCAGUGAUAGCAAUAUCGUGUGGGUUCGAUUCCCACCCAAGGUA
Molecule: transfer RNA, 84 nt
Filed under: Allomuricauda sp.
Lineage: Bacteria; Pseudomonadati; Bacteroidota; Flavobacteriia; Flavobacteriales; Flavobacteriaceae
Also listed under: 8 other names
Description: tRNA-Leu
Rfam family: tRNA
About the family: Transfer RNA (tRNA) molecules are approximately 80 nucleotides in length. Their secondary structure includes four short double-helical elements and three loops (D, anti-codon, and T loops).
Source: RNAcentral